GUGGCCCGACUCCACGCUCAGCCCGACCAACAGUUGGAUCUCGCCAACAGCAAAUGUCGUCCUGCCAGUGCCAUACUUACCACGUGGCAACGAAGAAAAAACCGGCUUGCCACGUCAGAGUCUUGGCGAAUUGGGACUGUGGGUCCCAGGUGAUCUCAACUAGGGAGUCCGAUUUGCUGACAGCGACCAAUAGAAAGACAUGCUGCACCACCACGGCGGCCGCCAGCGCAGCAAAAGCCGCGGUGGCGGAAAGGAGGGGCAGUUUUCCAGUGCCCGUGUAAGUGCACUGGGAAUCGCGCCAUUUGGCCUGAGAGCGUGCGGCCUCGGCUAUGAGGCAGAGGAUGAAGCAGAAGAGGCCGAGUAAUAUGGAUAGAACCAUGAGAAAGGCGCCGGUUUUGCUGCCGAGGUUGGUGGUUUUGGGUGUGGGAGAGAGAUCAGCGUGCGUCACCGCCAUUUUCGGAGUCGGGGCUCGUUCUUUGCUGUGAGAAGGAACAAUUUGAUGAUCAUCUUUUGGAUUUUGGAGAAAGGUUUUUAGGAUUGCUUGGAGGAAAGGUUCCUUAAAGGUUAGACAUUCCAAUAUUCUUGUUCUUUAAUUUCUCUCGUGUCUCAAUAUUUUCGAUAAAGUAGUUCAUAUUUACAUGACUUGCAUUUUGAUUUUAAAGAAUUAACUCAUGUAGUAUUCGAAUAUGGAUUUCGUGAUUUAAUAUAGUAGUUUUUAACUUUAUACCAUUGAUUAUAUUCGACUAAUCUUCGUAGAUUA
This is a non-coding RNA of Salvia hispanica, 760 nucleotides long. The record is from RefSeq and is a predicted model, not a curated record. NCBI's taxonomy places the organism in Eukaryota, Viridiplantae, Streptophyta, Magnoliopsida, Lamiales, Lamiaceae.